RNAcentral lists this ribosomal RNA (456 nucleotides) under uncultured Thyridium. Its description in RNAcentral is "SSU rRNA". It matches the Rfam family "Eukaryotic small subunit ribosomal RNA", at positions 624 to 1082 of the family's 1831-position model. The record is from RNAcentral. Lineage: Eukaryota; Fungi; Ascomycota; Sordariomycetes; Thyridiales; Thyridiaceae.
AAGCUCGUAGUUGAACCUUGGGCCUGGUUGGCCGGUCCGCCUCACCGCGUGUACUGGUCCGAUCGGGUCUUUCCUUCUAGGGAACUGCAUGCCCUUCACUGGGUGUGUCAGGGAACUAGGACUUUUACUUUGAAAAAAUUAGAGUGUUCAAAGCAGGCCUAUGCUCGAAUACAUUAGCAUGGAAUAAUAGAAUAGGACGUGUGGUUCUAUUUUGUUGGUUUCUAGGACCGCCGUAAUGAUUAAUAGGGACAGUCGGGGGCAUCAGUAUUCAAUUGUCAGAGGUGAAAUUCUUGGAUUUAUUGAAGACUAACUACUGCGAAAGCAUUUGCCAAGGAUGUUUUCAUUAAUCAGGAACGAAAGUUAGGGGAUCGAAGACGAUCAGAUACCGUCGUAGUCUUAACCAUAAACUAUGCCGACUAGGGAUCGGAUGAUGUUAAUUUUUUAAUGACUCAUUCG